CACUAGCUUAUUAGGGACCUCAAUUUCAUUUAUCUAACAUUGAAAGGUUGAGAAGGAUUGGAGAAAGAAGGUAAAUGUUGUGGUUUCUUAUCUCCCUUUAUAAGUCACUUAAAGAGGUGGUUU
Ipomoea nil (Japanese morning glory) is the source of this 123-nucleotide long non-coding RNA. RefSeq lists it as uncharacterized. The transcript is spliced from 3 exons. NCBI's taxonomy places the organism in Eukaryota, Viridiplantae, Streptophyta, Magnoliopsida, Solanales, Convolvulaceae. The record is from RefSeq and is a predicted model, not a curated record.